CCAGAACACCGGGGCGGGAAAGGGACCAGGCGGGACCUGGUGGGAGAGUCUGUGCUCUGAGAGGGCACAUCCGUGGGAAAUUGUGAGACUCGGGCAUCUGCUCCACCCUGAGCGUGGAUUUGGUGCCACAGUCCACCGCGUGCGCACCGAGCCUUUGUCUGCUUUCUCGCUGGUAAGCCGCGCUUUUUGCCUAGCUUUCUCCAGGCAGAAGCUGCCAGGUUGUAAAUGAGCUUUCUUGCUACUGCUCCUAAGUACCACUCACUCCUUAACGGGAGUGGACCUCCGCGCAGGGACAUGGGGUGUCAGGGUUGAGACCCUCCUCAGGACUGCUCUAGGUGUGUACCCAGGAGCCCCUUAGAGUCUAGCCACCAGGUGGGUGACCAUGUUCCCUUCUGGCUGGGUUGACUCCCGCAAUCCUGCUUCCCUGGCCCUGGGCCAGUCCACAGUAGCCACAUGACCCAGUGGCCACUCACACACCUGCAGGCAGUAUUCAGCAAAUCUCUGCUUAGACUUGCUUGUUGACUCAAUUGCCUUGAAGGGUGUGGACUCCAUGCUCCCAGCUGUCCUCCGAGCCCGAGGCUUCCCCCAGGUGUGUACUUCCCCCAUCCCUGUAUAUGUGAUUUAUGGGUGCUGCACAUGGAGCAUCUUCGUACGAGCUUGUACUCUUUCCCUUAGAUUGUGGUCGGCAGAGACCAUACUUUCCAAAAGGGACUCCAUGGAUUGACCCUGGUUUGGAGGUAAUGGGAGAAGGUGGGGCCCAUAGACUCUUGGGUUGUUGGAAUAACCCUAAGGCCUAUGACUGGGCUUGCUCCGGGGUCUUCUGCCUCCUAGACAGUUCAUUUUUUCCCCUUUACUACAUAAGUAUGUUUUCUCUUUUGGCAAUUGAUGCACACGUAUGUGCUUAGGCAUGCUCAAGCAUAGGCUUGUAGGCCACUAUACUUGGCAGUUCCAAAUGUCACAUAUAUGAGAGAGAUUUGGCUGGAACACUUUUUCCCCCUCCUUUUGGAGAGUAUGUGUGCAUGGAUCUAUAGGUGCUGUCUUUGUCUAAGGUGGGGCUGGCGUCGAAGUAGAAAUUAUGGUUCUGAACAAAGAUGAGCAGUUCCAGAGAGAUAUCUGAGUUAUCUUGGGGUACCCUAUCCUGGGGAGGGUGUUAUCUUUCAGAGUUCUACUCUGUACAUGAUUCCAAACAGGAGAAGCUAUCCCUGCUAAGGCAUGCUCACUCCAGUUCCUAAGAACAAGGCUUCUGUAGCUUUGGGAUACAAUGAGAGCAGUAAGUACUAGGGUAUAUGUGACUUGUAGACAGUCUGUUCUCACACACCCCAACUCAAAAGGAGAGGAAGAGAUUGAUACCUGAGGAAAGGCUGCUCUAUGUUCCACUUCUCCCCCCCCCCAACACAUACUUUUAGGGGUUCUAUUUUUGUCUGGGGUCAAAGAGCAGGCCACCUGGGUCUUAAACACUGAAGGAUCUGAAAUUUGGCAGUUUUCUUAAAAAAAAAAAAAGCCUCUUGGAAGGAACUUGUGUAUUCUCCAAGGACACAAAAAUGCACAGAGGUAAUCAGAUGUAUCCCUGUGGGGCUUGUAUCGGAGCUUUCUUUUACUUUGAUCUCUUUGUCAGCCAAACAAAUCGUCAUGUGCAGGCUGCUGAGCCCAGAUGCUACUUAGACAAGUGCAUACUACAGUUCUCUUGUGAGAAAGGGAGCCCUGUGUAGGAGGACAAUAGCCUCAUCCUGUGUCUGUUUUGUUCUGUUUUUCGGCUUACCUGGUCACGCGCUGAGCAGACACUUGCCUGCUACCAUUGCCAGUACCAGAUCCUGCCCUAGCUGGUCCCUCUUGCUUAAGCAUGUUGAAGCCACAGAUCUAUAGUGGGUUAGUAGGCCAAGGUGAGAUGGAGCCUCCCGGGCAGGAGUUGGCUCAGUAUUGAUGCUCAUUGCUGCAAGUGGUCCAUGGGCUUCCCACCUGAUGCUGUUCCUCUGUCUGAAUCAGGCCAUUCCCGAGUUCACAUCAUUUCCUGUUCUCUGUCAGAUCACUAGAUCUCUGCUUUUCCUUUCUACCGCUGGAAGAGUUGCUGAUUAAGUAGAAAAAUCUUGCCCAGGGAAAGACAACAAUUGUUGUCCUGGAGCAUCCUCUGGGUUCAUUUUGCAUUGGGGGUGGGGUGGGUCACACUGCAGGCCAAUGGGAAUUAGAGCCAAUUUCCUGUAACAAAUACAGGCUGUCUGUGCUACCUAGUCAGCUUUGUGAUACAUUGUGGCAUGGCUGGAGGAGGCUUUGCCUGGGAAGAGCAGGAGACACACCUGUGAAAAAUACAGCUCUAGGAAUGAGAAUCCCAAGCCACAAAUACCUCCCCACCCGUGUCUCUCUGUGUGCUAUAUUUUUAUGAGUUAACUACAGUAAAGAGCAGAAAGAGCUCCGUGCAUAAAAAUAAAAGUGUGUAUUUGUAUGUGUGUAUGUGUGUGUUUGUAUGUGUGUUUGCAUGUGUGUAUUUGUGUGGGGGAGGCAUGGAGGGUGGCGAUACGGAGAAAGCAAAGGAAAUUAAGACCAGAGAGGUUUGUGAAUGCACAGUGUAAAUGCCUUCAUACUGCAAAUUACUGUAUGUUCCUCAAAUAUCCCAGUGAGUGUACUUUUGCAGGACUUGUGAGUCUGUUACUCGCCACUCUUAAACUGUUUCCCCGGGGUGUGAGGACUGCGUGGCUGAUGCCAGGAUACACUGAGAUAAAUAUGGUCCCUGUGAGAGCAAAUGCACUCAGUACUCCAGACAGCACCAGGCGUCCCAGUCAGGGUAUUCUCAUAGGCUCUGUGAAGCUGAUGCCACAGGGGAAAACCAGACUCAAGGCCCAGCACUGCCUGCAUCCACCAUGGGCCUACAUUCAGUCAAGACCCAACUCACAGCUUGUUGGAGAGGACCCACAUGUUCUAUAACACAACUGUGUGGAGGGUGUAGAGAUGACUCUUUACUCCCCAAAGACCUGGCAUAGAGACACGGGUGCCCCAAAAGGUGACCCGAAUAGCAUGCUGUGAAUUCCUGCCAGGCUGGCUGUGGGCAGUGAACGUCAUCUGCUAUCCAUGGAGGGGUGAGCUGGUUCUUGGCUAGGUCAGAAGUCCAAAGGGCAAAGCUAUUUAAACUGGGUGGUAUUAUACUAUUUAGAUUAUUAAUAGGCAAUCCAUGGAAUCCUACUUUUAAUUUGAAAUAAACCUAUGUGGACAGAGGAAUUUCCUGAAGGUUUAAAUGAGAAAGAGCUAGAAAAUCAGAAGACAGGCCUUCUAUCUCAAAUUGAUACAUUGCUCUUGGAGGGUUUUUUUUUUUUUUUGUUUUUCACACAAAACAUUUUGUGUCCUAAAACAAAGAAAAGCAUGUUGAGUAGCAGGCAGGUUGUGUGAGGAAUAGUGUGCCAACCAGCACAACUGCCACCCUGCGUAUAACACAGUCCGUGCAAUGGAGGAAAGCCUUUUUUCAAGUCUGGAGAAGAACUCUAAGGGGCAGGGAAUCUAUAGCUGUGGCAAAGGCAAUACUGGCACCCAGAAUGGCCCUGGCCAGUGUAUCUGCUACUACCCCGCCUUCACGCCUGCUGUCUGGCUUACUUUCUAGAAGGCAGGCUGGAGAGGACUGUGGGCAGGGUCUUAUCUUUGUUCUGAUGCUGAGGCAUAGACAGGGGUAGACUCAUAAAGAAGCUACAUUAUCAGCUUGUAUAGGAAAUUUCACGGUUCCAAUAAAGCAGAGCCAUGUAUGAGGAAGAGGUAUGCUAUCCAUAUGCAACCUGGGCACACGUGGCCUUGGACCCAGAGCUGGCACUAAACUCUAGUGGCCCAGCAUUCAAGUGUGUUCUGCAGAAUUGGUUCUCAUGGGGCUAUAGCUCCAGGAGAGGGUAAGGUUUGCUCCUGUGUUCUCAGCAGAACUACAAGGAGAUUCAGAAGGAGGUCAGACCAGAGCCCAGCUUGGAAGACCCUGUUAGUGUUUCAUAGGAUGUCAGGCUCAAGUCUGGAGGAAGCAGGGGAGAGAGUUCACCUGGCAGAAGCCCCAGGAAAACCUACUGGGCAAAAAAGGCACCUCUGAAAGUCAUAGCCAGGAGCUUAACCAGCCAAGGGGAAAGGAGUCACAGGCCUAUGCUAAGGACAGUCUCUGUGUUCCUAGACGGGUGUGCAGGAAAGCCAGAAGGCCUUCCAUGGUGAAGGUGUAGCAGAGGCUAUGUCUCUGUGGCAGUCCUCAGCAGUGGAGACAAAGCUGGACCUGUGCAUGACGACACACAGGGAGGUGGAGGCUAGAAGGAUAGGUAACAUGAUGGUUGGCUGUGUAGACAUUGGAUACCAUGGUUCCUGGUUAGGAAGGCUGAGGGUGGGGGUGGGGGUAUGAUUGGGUUGGGAGUCAGGACUGUGAACCUUUGUAGGUUGUGGGAUUCUUGGCUUGGGUGGUACCUGCUCUCUACUGCCCUCUAGUGGUGUAGAGAGCAGCUACCCGAAGGGAAUAAGCAAAACACAUCAAAACACACAGAGACUUCAUACAGGGGGCUGUGAAUGAAGGUCAAUCUGGAAGGAGAUCUGAGUGGUGUAGCAUGAGCAGCCAUGGUGUGGGAAGCAGUCAAGAGAAGAGCUGCCCGGCAGAUGGGCCCUGAGCUGGAGGAGGAGAGUAAAGGCUGCACAGCUGGAGCUGGGACCUGCAGCCCAGAUGUCUGGUAUGUGAUGAAGCCCGUAGAUUGGCCAGAACAGGGCUAUAUACCAGGGAGAGUUAUGAGCCACAGGCUUCUGUGAUUUAUAUCCUGCAGGCUCAUCUGAGUGUAAUUUGGGAAAUGAAUCUUGGAGCUGUUUGGGAAGGGAGUAUACAGGGGCCACCGAGUCAGGGGUACAGCAGUGGACAUGAAUCGUAGUUGAGGGCUCAAGUAUUUGUGGUAUCAAGUGCACUGAAUGCCUGUUGCUUGGGGAAUGCAUUCCUGGCUUCCGGUUACUGGUAAGGGGCCCAGAGGAGGAAAUAUGCAGGCAAAGGCAGGUUUGGUAGGUUUGGCAGUAGGGAGAUGGAGAUGCUCAAGGUAUAGCAGAUUUAAAAACAACAACAACAACAACAACAACAACAACAACAAAUCACUUAGAUAAAGUUUUACCAUCCCUAAGGCUGGAGAAGAAAAAAAGAGGCAUGACAUUUGAUGCCCCUCUAAGGAGUCAGUCCAUGGAUGCUUUGUGUGAAUCUGGAAUUUCUGAGAAAAAAAAAAUGGAUGGUCUUGGUUGCAGAAGGAAGGGUAUCAUGGCGCAGUGUCUCUCUACUCUGAAGACUGAGAUGUGGGAGGAGAGCGUGGGCCCGAGGAUGCUGGCCUAAAGUGGGUUAGAAAUGAAGAUCGUGAUCCCCUAGUGCUGAGGCAGCAGCUGAAGGGACGAUGAAGAGGAUUCAGGGCAGAGGGCAGAGGAUGUGUUUGAAGGGGGCAGGGAAAAGUGGAAGAGUGCAUCAGGCAGGAGUGGACUGAGCAUCUGCAGGUGACAAGGGACAGACACACUGUGGCACUCAAAGAGGAGCCUCUGAGAUGAAGUAAAAUCCCGUGGCCAGCAUGUGACUAGCAGACCUGUGGAGUGCGCCCCUGUGGCUAUGGCUGAUGGUGGGCUUCAUUCCAGAGAUGCUUAAGAAUGCUUACCUACUGAAGUCCAGGGGUUUGAAGAACGAGGCAACAUGAAGAAACAGCUCUGUGAGGUGAGGAGGACAGGGUGGGAUGACAUGUGGGGAUCUGGGAAAGCUGAGACCCAAAAGGCAAUGUUUUUGGUGGAGGGGAGGGUGGGGGCCAUGUUGUAGCUGUUGCUAACUCACAUCGGGGGCAAUGAGUGGGUAAGAAACCUUUCAUCAGGUGCUAACUUCCAUUACUCUAGUUGUCCAGCAUUUUGGUCCUUUGGAGGAAGCUAGACAGGAGAGCAAGGCCUGAGAAAGCUUUCAGGGAACAGGGAGAAGGGAAGUAAGUACGCUAAAGCAUCCAUGAAGAGAAAGGCAGGGGUGUGGAAGGUCUCCCGGGUGCUUGGGAGAGGCGCUUAGUAACCCGCAAUUAGAUGGGUGUGGGGGAGUGACCUGUGACAUUUGGAAGGGGAGUUGUGAGAGAAAAGCAGUAGAUUAGUAGAUUAGGAAGCAGACAGCUACUGGGGGCAAGAAGAGUGACAGGAUCGGAGGGGCAGGCCUGAGCAAGUGAUUCUAUUCAAGAUCAAACAGAGCAAGAAAGCUGCAUAUUGCACCACUCAUAAACACCCUAAUGAGAAGUGACCUAUGACCUAUGGAGUGACAGCUGAGUGCUGUCUUGGAGGAGGGAGAAUUUGAGGGUUGCAGAGGUAACCAAGAGGAAGAUUCCAGAAAGAAUGGAUCUGAACAGGGUCCAGAGGUGGAUAUAGGAAGCCAGGAUUGAGGAAGCAAAGCAGCAGGGCUGUAUGGAGAGAGUGGGGGACUGAGGACAAGGGACAUUGUGUCAUUGCACCAUCUCUUCCAGAGGACUUUCUCUGUCCUGACAGCUACCUGUCUAGGUCCUCCUGUGCUUCUGUGUGUCCUGCAGCACAUCGUCCCUCUUUGAAUCUGGAUUUCACUGGUCUUUGUCUGUCUCUAGGGUUGGGCAAAUGCUUCGCUCAUCUACUCUUUAUCCAUCCUCCCAGGGCAGCUCCAAGCAGUCUAUUGAAGAAACAAGGGAGGGUGUUUAAGUGGAAGAAUCUUAGCCAAAUAGCCCUUUAUCAAAGCUAAUUUUCCUAAAAGAGAAGAAACAAUGAAAUCGUGUGGCUGCAGAGCUUUGCUCCAGUACUCAAAACUUCAUUCUAUUCAUUUUUUUUCCAUGUAAUCCAAAUACACUCUUUGGCACCAGCACCCAGGCUUUUGCGUCACUGUGAACACAAUACUUGACACGCAGUGAGGUCAAUGAGGAACAGGCAGCAGGAGUCCAAAGGAAGGAGGGAGCCCCGUGGUCCACAUUUGGGUAGCCUCAGCUUGCUUUCCCUGGGCUGUGGCAAGAGCCUUUGUUACUUUGAUGAAAACAUUUCCUGCAUCGCCAAGACAAAAAGUGUUGCAUGGAAAGUGCUGAAAUAUUGCCACGUGUGUGUUUUGGAGAUGAUGAGUUAUUGAUCAAACACAAGCAGAUUUGGACUUUUUAGAGUUGGCAAGUUCCGUGAGAGGAAACGUUCUACAUGCAGAGCACCAAUGGGCAAGAAAGGAGGUGACUGGCAGGCAGGAGUGCAGCCCAAGGCAGAGCAGUGCGGUGUGUAUGAUGUAAUGCAUUGGUGUAUUGGGUUUUUUUAUUUUUUUCAUUCUUGAGUGGGAGCCAGGGCCAUUUCGCCUCAGCUGGCCUUGAACUCCAGCAAACAUCAUGUCUUCCUCAGCCUCUGCAGGGAUGCUACUGCAGAUGUCGCCACCACACUGGCAUCUGUGCUUCUGAUCGUAACCCUGGCUGUUUCUUAAAGAAGGCCAAGCGCUGUCCUGCAGACCCAUCGCUGUGGUUCUCAGAUGUAGUAAUGGUGGCUUUUACCUGCUAUUCCAAGGGUCACAUAUACUUUGAGAUAUUCUGCAUGACACAGCUUCAGAAUUUUGCUCAUGAAAACAUUUUUAUCUAGCCAGUCACUGUUUUUUUUUUUUUUUUUUUUUUUAGGGUGAUAUUCCAAUUUCUUGGGAUUAACCAUAUCAUCUAAUAUUUAAGACUGAUUUAAGACUAUAUAAAGCCUUAGUGAUUAGAACAACAUGCUGCUGGCCCCAGACAGACAGACAGACAGUCCAGCAGACCCAGAGUUAGGCAGGAACACAUGCACCCCACUUUAUGUGGUAGGAGACAGGGUAGAUGGCUGAAGAGAUGGUCUGGGGACAAGAGAGUAUUUGCUCAGAAGAAAAUGAGAUCAUCCUGCACACUGUAGGCUCAGAUUAAAUUCUACAUGGUGAAUAUAUUUAAUAUUGAAAGGAGGAAAACAUAAGAAGAAUAGAUAGAUAGAUAGAUAGAUAGAUAGAUAGAUAGAUAGAUAGAUAGAUAACACCAUGAGGAAAUUCUGUUUUUAGAUUAGGGGAGGCAUUUUAAAUUCCAGCAGUAGUCAAAGGAAGCGUUGACUGAAUAAGGAGACAAGAGAAAUUCCUUUUGUACGGCUUUGGACAGGGACCCACUCCAAGGGAAUAGCUAAAUGAUUUUCCACUUUCUGCUACUAUCCAAGCAAGAGUCAACUACCCGUCCUUUAGCACAAGGUACUAUCUGAAGUAGUUAAGGAACACCCACCCAGGGACGUGAGCAGAGAGCGUGUGGGAAAAGAGGAGAAACAAGACAAACACACAUCCCGAGACAGCGUUCUGCUUCAUCGUGAGGAGGCCUGCACUUUAAAACAUUGCCAUCUUCAUCUGCCCUCGCUGCACAGGUUAAUACGCUUUAUAGCACACGGGUGGUGGUUAUGCUAAGAGGCAAACCCUCUCACAACUUCCUGCGGGAAGUACUAAUCGGCAAAGCCUUUGAAGAGGGCAAUUUGUCAGUAUUGAUUAGUAUUAAAAAUGUAUGUAUCCAGUAAACCAAUAAAUUGUUCACCUGGGAUUUUAUCAUUUAGAUGCUGCUAUCGGAGUGACUGACACACAGUGCAGGGUGGGACUCUGAGUGUCUUCUUGGAGGGUCCUGUUAAGUUGCUUUUGUAGCAGUAAAAUUGAAUACACUGCUACAUUAAACAAAAAUACCAGCAACAGCAAAAUAUCAGUGAAGGAGGAUGCCUACAUCCACACACAUGCACUCUUAGAUCCAUUCGAGUUAGAAAGGACAAAAGAAACCGAUUUGCUUCUAAUUUCACAAGGAAAUUGAGUUGGCCUUACUGGGCAAUAUUGGCGGGGCGGGGGGGGGGUAGGGGGCGGUGAAAGCAUGAUGUGAGCUUUGCAUAGAUGGGAACCGAGUCCGAGGGAGACUUCAACCUGAAUGUGACCUGGUUUCUAUUGGUUCGUACCCAUUCAGAAAUCAUACGUGAGGCUGUGCCAAAACGCAGUGUGAUUAACCCUGAGUGGCUGGUGGCUGCCGAGGCUGAUUUUGUUGUUGUUGUUGACCUCAGGUUUUUUUAUCUCAGCACCUGAAAUUUCCUCAGUUGCUUUCUGUCUUCUUGAAAUGUCAAGCCAGGAAUAUUUAAAAGAGAAAGAAAAAAGGAAAAAAAUAACAUCCUUCCCGUUCGAGUGUCAGUUCCUUUUUUAUGCCACACACCAAUGUGAAAACCAAAGCAGGUACUCCUGCCUCCGUGUAUUUCUGACUGAUAGAGCCCUUGGCUUUGGAUUUAAAGUGUCAAGUAUUGCUUAGAUGUUUGGAGGGCUGCCCAGUCAGGCUAAGCUGGUAGAAAUCACUGUGUUUGGCAAGGAAUGGAGAGUCUUCAUCGAGCGACUGUAGGCUCUGCGUGGCUGCGCUUCUAGAGUGGGUGAAAUGUAGGCACAUUGGUUGGUUCUAGCUCCUAAGGAUCUGUCUGAAUGAGGUCCUACUCAUUGCCAGCCACCGUGCUGACAGCAACUUGUUGUGAUAGCAACUUGUGGAUAUGCACGGGGGAAGAGGCAGAGGGCACUUGUGCCUGCCACUCUCCACAGCCUGCUGGUGCUGAGUUGAGUGGCAGCCACUGAGCGCUCCCCAGGGGCUAGCCAUCUAGAGGAGAGCUUGAGAAAGCUUCCAGGCUGGAAAGGACAUAGCCAGCCCCUGCUUUGAGGGUUGAUUUAUCCAUACCCUCCUGCCUAACCUCUUCCCUGUUCUUACUUCAGGCUCCGGGUUUCUCUGAGUGCGUGGGAUUCUUCCCCUCCCCCACCCAGGCCCCUGGUAUGGAUGGCCACCCUUCUCAUUGUCCGGUGUCUUGCUUGUAAUGUUGACAUUUUUCUUUGUCUUAUCACUUAAUAUUAUUUCCUUCUCGUCCACCCGUUGGUUUUAUUUUAGCCGCCACUUCCUUCCUACUUACUGGGUUUUGUGAGAAACUUUUUGUUAUUUUUUUUUGAACAUCAACCUUCCUCCACCCCUGCAAACCUCUCCUGUGGGUGUCACACUCCUCCCCAGGGCUGACCUGGGGGCAGAACCAUGUGUCUCCAGAAGUGUUUUCUCCCUGCUAUUCCUGGCCAUGUGAAACCUGGCCCUUUCUCUUCACAGGCUCCCACCGACCCCCGGCAAUGCCUUUGUUCUAGAAGUUACUCUUGAUGAAUAAUAUUAGGAUCCUGCCUUAAUUUACCUCUUACAGAUCUCGCUCUCUUUGCAGGAGAGUUUUGGCACCUUCUAUGUUUUGUAACUGGUCUGCUCUGUUUGUCAAAGAGUUGCCAUUUCAAAAAACCAAAAAGGGUUGCCAUUAGAAAACCCAUCUUUUUUUUUUUUCUACCUUGUUUUUUAAGUUUUCUUUUGUUUUAUGUUUGAAUGUGUGUGUGUGUAUAUGUGUGUGUGUGUGUGUAAUUUAUCAUUCCUAAUUUUUUGAGACUCAAAACUGUUCCAAUUUCUUGUAUCUGAACCCCAAGCUGGCAGAAAUACAACGUAUCAUUGCUCCCUUCCUCCCUUUCCUUCCUUGUUGAUGGACGGCUUAGUCUUGGUUGGACCUUCUGUUCUAGGGCUGACAACCUUUCUCUAAGAACCUAUGGAAAGCGAGGUGUUGACAAGUUGCCAGUGUCUGUGCGUUAUGCCACCAUCAAGCAGGUACUGGAGCACAGAGUUUGGGGACAGCAACCUGUGUGGGCUGCUUGCUUUGUUUGCUCACAUUGGGAAGACAAGGAAGGUGAUGUGUGUCCAGAGGAAGGGCAGAGCAGCUGUCGUCAUAUCCUGGGUCCCUUCUCUAAAUGGUGGCAUGACAGUCUUGGUGACAUCCAAGUGGUGGGAGCAAAGCAUGGCUGCCUGAGGUCUCUGCUUUGCCUGGAAGGCGCUUCUGCGGUGGCAGGAAGCAAGGCUUCUGGAAACACUGACAGCAGGAAAGGCCAGACUUGUCCAGCAACUCCACUUUCUUGGCAAGAAAUGAAAGGAAAAUGGGUUCAAAAUUAAAAGGGAAGAAUUUUUAGAAAGAGAAAGAAGAAGAAGAACAACAACAAAAAAGCAAUUGUCACUAGAAUUCUUCCAUUUAGGGCAAGCUAUUUAGAGAGGUUGUAGGCAUUUCCCCAUGUAUGGAGUCUGCACCUCCAACCUGCUCUGGUUCUACCCUGUCCCAGCUCUGAAUGCCUCAAGUUGGCUUUGCCCCAACCUGGGAACAUCUGUGAGGCCUCCUGCUGUGUGUUCAGUGGAAACCCAGGGGAGUGUGUGUGGUGGAGGAACAUGGGGGUGGGGCAGCCCUGGGGCAGAGCACAUCUACAUGGCUCCAUGUGUCUCAGGAAGUAGGCAAUGGACAGGACCCCUUGUUCUUAGCUUUUAUGUAUGGGUCCUCUUAUAAUAGGCUAUUUUCUGGACUACUUGGGUUUGUUGAUCUGUCAUGAUUAGUCCUAUCCAUGUGCAAAGUUAUAACUUGAAGAAGAGCAAGGACAUGUCUUGAGGAUAAAUUUUGAACAAGUUGCCAUUUGAAUUCCCCUAAGAACGUUGCUGUACCUCGUUUGCAUGUAUUAGAAGGAAGCUGUCAGUGACUUGCAUUAAGACUGCACUUUUAUAUUUUACAAUAGUUUGCAAUCCUUUCAUUCUUUAGCUCUACUUAAGAAACCACUGGUUGCUUCUGCCUCAAAAAAUUGUAUAUCGAUGUGCACCAUCACAGCCGUGGCUGGCUUCUUCCUGGGCUUGCUUCAGGGGCUCAAGACAGCAGCCGUGUCCUGUCCUGCGAAUCUACCUUCCUCUCUUCUGGAAGCUGAGGCUGUCUCUGGAUGAAUGAGUGCCCCCAGGGGCAGCUUGCCCAGUGGGUCCUUGAUGCCAGAAUUGUAGGGAGCACUACCUCAGGCCACAUCUGUGUCGAAGGAGAAUUUGCCUCCAGAAUCCGGCUCCUUACUUUCUCAGAGCUUUAUCAGUAUGUGUCUGUUUGCCUUGGUGCCUUCUCUUCCAAAGAGAUUUGCAGCCUUGUUUUUUGUUUGUUUGCUUGCUCGUCUUUUUUUUUUUUUUUUUAAAACAGGGGCCCACUGUGUAGCUCUGCCUGUCCUGGAACUUACUAUGUUGAUCAGGCUGGCCUCAAACUCUCACAGAGAUCCUCUUGCUUGUCCCCUAAAUUCCUGGGUUAAAGAGAUGUGACGACCAUGCCCUGCACAGACUUGUUUUAAAGUGAAACUACUUUUGAAAUUCUGCAUAGAGCACAGGAGUGUCCUAUUUGUAUUGUUUUGCUUUGACUUACAUACUGAGUGUGUGUGUGUGUGUGUGUGUGUGUGUGUGUGUGUGUGUGUAUGUGUGUGUGUGAGAGAGAGGGGGGGGAGAGGGAGAGAGAGAGAGAGAGAGAGAGAGAGAGAGAGAGAGAGAGAGAGAAGCAAGGCUUUUCCAGAAAUCCCUUAGGGCAUGGCUUUUGCCUGACUUCAUGCAAGUGCCCCAUUGACAUCAUCGCUGAUGUCAUCGCUGACAUCAUUGUGGGGUUGGGGCCAGAGUUUUCACUGAGGCCAUCCUGGGCUGUGUGCAAUUGUCCAUGCUCUGUGCCAGCCUGGCCCAUUUUCCUAAGAAGGCCCGUCAUGGUCUUAUUUUGGGAUGUGACCUGCUGUGGAGCUUGCUGGGUGCACUGGCCUCUCUUUAUUCCUGUUUCCUCUCUUCCUUAUGUAAAGACACUUUUCUGCUGUCCCCCCAGUGGGAGAAGCCAGGAGGUUAUCUGCAGGCUAGCUCAGAAGUUGGGUUGGUAACGUCAGAAACUAGCUGCAGUAAGCAAACCUUUCGGAACUCUCAGCUUGCCAUGGUGUAGCUCUAGUUCUAGUGGUGUUGAGAUUACCCCAGUUUCAGUAAGAAGGAUUGCUCAAAGUGUGAGCCUUAAUUAAGGUCCAGCCUUCUCGUUACAGAGGUGAUCCUUGGACAGGAUGGAAGGAUAAUUGCAGCAUCGGGCUGGAAAGAAGAGCUGAUGGUCUCUGUGUCAAAGAGAAGGGUUCCAGGUGCAUACGGGAGGCAGCACCUGGCUGGAGGCCCAGUGAUGCUCCUGGCUUAGCCAGGGUUCCUGGGCAGCGAGCAGAGGUCAGGGGAUGUAGCUGAGGCACAGGGCAAACAGCUAAAGGUGAAUCUAUCGUGACAGAGACAGGGUACCACUGUCAAGCCUGACUUUAGAAGUGGGCUGAAAAUUUAGCAAGCUCCAGAGUUUCUGUCUAGUUCUGAAGAAGGCAGCCUCCUCCCUUGGAACUUCAGGAAGCCAUUGUUCUUCUGCACUACGACUCUGAGAACUGCCACACAGUCACCCUCUCAGACACUGGCUCAGCAGCCAGCCAGUAUGACUGACCUCUUGGUCUUUGGCUCUGGUGCCACCCAAAUCGGGCACAGAGCUUAGUUCUUGUUUAAGUCGGCUUCUCUUAGAGGAAGAAGAACAUUUUUAGAAAAUGUAAAUUUUUAAUUUUUUACCUAAAUCUGCCUUGUUGAUUUUUAUGUUUCUGAGAGUUAUGUCCAAUAUCCCUUUACAAGGACAAACAGGUAUAUAAAAAUGUGCCCUGUUCCCAAACCAUGCUACCUGUGUGGAAUUUAGCAGAAUUUAGAAGACUGCAAGAUUCAUGCAUUUGGGAGGUAGAGGCAGGAUGGUUGUCAGUUCAAGGCUAGCCUGGUCUACAUAGUGCAUUGUAGCCCAGCCCAGAGCUAUGAGACACUAUGUCAAAAACAAACAGAAAGCAAAACAAACAACAACAAAGCAAAAGCAAAAGUAAAAGUAAAAAUAACAGAAGAAUACUUUAGAUGCUCUGGGUGUGAUGUGGUACUGGCCAGGAGACAGGACACUGCUGUAUCCUGUAUCCUCUUUCCUUCUGAAAGCAAUGUUCUAUUCACAGAGGUUGCAGACUUACUCAGAACAGCUGACUUGUCAUGAAGUCUGUGUGAUGUUCUUUUUCUUUUUUUUUAAGAAUGAUUUUUCGGGCAGUGGUGGUGCACACCUUUAUUAUGUUUAUUUAUUUAUUUUUUUAAAGAUUUAUUUAUUAUAUGUAAGUACACUGUAGCUGUCUUCAGACAUUCCAGAAGAGGGAGUCAGAUCUCGUUACGGAUGGUUGUGAGCCACCAUGUGGUUGCUGGGAUUGAACUCCGGACCUUUGGAAAAGCAGUCGGGUGCUCUUACCCACUGAGCCAUCUCUCCAGUCCCCCUGUGUGAUGUUCUUAUUCUUUUAAUUUUUUAAAAAAAUUAAUUAAUUUUUAAAGAUUUGUUUAUUAUUUUAUUUUUUAAGUAUUUGAGUAAUCUGUAGCUGUACAGAUGGUUGUGAGCCAUCAUGUGGUUGUUGGAAAUUAAAAUUAGGACCUGUGCUCUCUAUAGUCAACCCCUGCUCUGGUCGUCCAAAGAUUUAUUUAUUAUUAUAAAUAAGUACACUGUAGCUGUCUUCACACACACCAGAAGAGGGCAUCAGAUCUCAUUAUGAAUGGUUGUGAGCCACCAUGUGGUUGCUGGGAUUUGAACUCAGGACCUUCAGAAGAGCAGUCACUACUCUUAACCGCUGAGCCAUCUCCCCAGCCCUAUUCUUUUGCUCAUAGUUACUAUUAUCCCUUCUGAAGAUUCUGGAAGUGAAGCACCAUUGGUUUCUCGGACCUUCCAGAAAAGUUUCUCCAGGCCCAACUGAGUACAUGGUGUCUGUACCACGUCUGCCACUGUCAUGACAUGCCAUUGUUAGCGAGGAGGGAAUGUAUGAGGAGGAGCUUGGGAAAGCCACCUUGGUCUCACUGCGGGAGCCCGGGGAGAAUCUGAGGUAGGAGCUCACUCAGGUCAGGCCCAGGUUCCCUGGAAUUUCAGGACAUGGAAUAUUUAGAGGCCACAGCCAAGGAGCCCAUGCCCUUCAGUCUUCAUGACAGCUUUCUUCUUUACUUGUCUCUUGUUCCAGCAUCCACCCUAUAACAACUUACAGCAAUGACAGCUUCUGCUUUUACUUUAGGUUCUGUUUGUAAGUGACAGCGGAAAGCCGUGUCUGGGUUGCAGGAUGUCACGUGUUGAUGGACGUGUGCAUCAGGGAUGCUUACAUCGAGCUAGAAAACAUCUCUGCCAGCUCACCUCCACGUCAGUUGUUUUAUUUGUGGUAACAGUAUUGAAAAAUCUACUUUUACUAGUUUCCAAAUGUAUACUAUUAACAGCGGCCUUGAGAGAGGCAUUCCUUUUGCCUCACGGAAGCCUUGAACACUGGAUGUAUUUCCUUCUUCCUAUAGUCCCUGGAGCCUGCUUUCCCACCCCCUGCAUCCAUAAUUCUGACUUUCCUUGAUUUCAAGAUAAGUGGCUCAUUUCGCUUAUCUCCUCUCCAUUUCACAACUGACCUUUCCUUAGUCCCGGGGGAAGUUUGUUCAAUCCAGAAUUGUACCAUAUGGCUCCUUUUUCUAAAGUGCUGAAACUCCCAGGGUGCUGAGCCAUGGGACAAUCUUGAGAGCUUCUGACCUCAAGGGAGAAGCAGGAAGACCAGGGGCAGCAAGACAGGGAGAGUACUUUAUUAAACCAACCAACUCAUAGCAAAUUCCAGGUCUUCCCUUCUACCUUCCUAUCUGUGCGUCUGUUCGUCCAUCUGUCCAUCCACCCUUGUCUCUACCAGUCAACUCAUCUAUCCGAGUGUUGUGAUCUAGAAGUGAGACACUGUCACGGGCAUGCAAUUUGGAAUGUAUUUAAAUUGUGAGAGUUAUGAAAUUAUGCUUGCCAUUCUGAUGCAGCUGUUUGACUUAACAUCGAAGAUUGGCUUUCCAAGAAGGCGUGCAGCAGAGAGACUCCAUAAAUGGAACGAACUGCUCUUCAGCUCCAUAUUUGCUGUGAAAACAUGUGGGAACAUACCUCAUUCCCAACCAUUCAAGCUCGUGAUAAAAAUUUCAUAUGUCAACUGAAAAAUGUGCGAUAGCGUACCAACGGGGGUGGGAGCAGGAUGCUGCGGUAGAGUCUGUGCACGAGAGGAGCGCUCUCCCACUCGGGAGUGUCUGAAUGCCCCAGGCCUGGGCAGAGCUGCCAAGCAGCUAUAAAGAUCGAGUCCUUUGACAUUUGCUUGUUGUUUUAGUCAGUGUUUUACUUCUGUAAACACACACCAUGACUAAGGCAACUCCUAUAAAGACAACAUUUAAUUGGGACUGGCUUACAGGUUCAGAGGUUCAGUCCAUUAUCAUCAAGGCUGGAAGCAUGGCAGCAUCCAGGCAGGGGUGGUGCAAAAGGAGCUGAGAGUUCUACAUCUUUAUCUGAAGGCUGCUAUGAGGAGACUUGCUUCCAGGCAGCUAGGAUGAGGGCCUUAAAGCCCACACCCAUAGUGGCACACCUACUCCAACAAGGCCACACCUCCUAACAAUGCCAGUCUGUGGGUCAAAUAUAUACGAACCAUCACAGGGUACUGGAUGCCUGAGGUUGUCUCUGUAGUAAAUGUGUUGUCAUGACACUGAGUGGUCCUUGGGAUUAGGCUCAUCUCAGCACCUGAGGAGCACUGCCCCUCCAGCCUGUCUGUUAUCAGGCUUUCUUGAUCAGCAUCUCCAUGCUUAUGUGGCUGUGUGCUCCUGUAGAAUACCUUUUAUGUGCCCACGUGGUGGAGAGCAGCUAGUCCUUAUAACUUCAGUAAGCCUGCAAUCUGAUUGAUGGAGUGCAAGAGCCAGGAGGUUGGAGUAGCCUGAGGCAUCUGAGGAAGGACAAGAGAGAGGGACAGGCUGCAUUUGUAGUCUGGUAUGGGGUUGUGAUAGAGGAAGUUUCUGGGUGGCAGUUGCUGCCUGGCCAAGGAUACCCUUGUGUCUAGGUGAGGUAGAUGAUCAAGAGGCAUCCUGGAACCUGCCUUCCAGAGUCAUAUUGAGUUCUUGCCUCUGCAGAGCAAGCAGGUGAUACACAGGUGUGGUGAUGUCCAGCCCCUUUGGACCACAGGGGGCACAGCUGUGACAUUUGAGGCUGGGGUUCAAGGCAGGCUGGAAGCUCUUUUAUUUUAUGACAGUACAAAGUGGGUGAAUCCUGAGCUGGAAGGGGCUGAGAAGAGAACCUGUGCCUCAGCCUGAAGCCUAGCAAAUAAAUGGUCUCAGGCCCUCACCAGAGUGCCUCUAGCCUCCUGUGGCCAUGUUCACCUCCUCCAGACACAAGAGUUGUCUGCUUGGCUCCCUGACCCUGCCUUCCAAGGGGACGGAAGUGCUCACCUGCUUCUUAUAACUUAUUCCAGAAAUAAACCUUUCAAAAUGUGUGGUGGCACUGUCCCCUGCCUCUUAGAAGUCUUUGGACUUUUGAAGUUUUUCACGGUGACUGUGUCUCUGAUACAGCCUAGAAAGGAGACAGUCUGGGGCUCUUGGUUGGGUUUGUUUUCCGAAAGGCAGGAAAAAUCUGAAACGUAACAGGUAGCAGCAGACAGUGCAAACAAAACCAGCAGCUUAGGGGGCAUUUAUUGGGAGUGAGGAAACACACACACAGCAGACAGACAGACAGACAGACAGACAGACAGACAGAUAAGGAGAAAGAUCCUUCACAGAGCAGGCAUGAGACUUGGGAAGCCAAAGAAUGUAGUCUGUCUUUAAGACCAGCCUCUGAAGUCUUCCUACUUUAGCUUUGGUCAUAUUGAAAACAGUUGUGCUUGCUCCACAGUUGUUGUGCGACCUUUCCUGAUCAGGCCUUGAACCUGUUGAGCUGCUCCAUCAGCAGGAGGCCCGGCGGAAGACAAAAGAUGCCAGGCUUCUGUCUCAAGUCAGGAGAAUGAGGAUGGACAUAUUUUGGAAAUCUUCUACCUUUAUUACCUACCUAGCCACAGUCCCUUCCCUCUCUGUCCCCCUCGCAGGGAGUCUCUCUGACUCCUGGUGUCUCACUCACCUCCUUGCUGCUUUUCACAGGCCAGAUGGAAAAGCCUAGCUUCUCUCCCCUGGGUCAGCUGGGAAGGUUUGCUAGCUUGCCUGCACUGUGGCAAAGACCUGAGGGACCUGGAAUGGUGACCACUGUCUGACGUGCACAGUCUUUCCUGCAUCUGUGACACCAGCUGGGUAUGUGACAUGUAUAUUCUAAGAGCGGUGGCAACCCCAUCGUAGACCUCGUAGACACAGCCAAGGAGAAAAGAUCAGGGGAUACCAAGAUACUCAGUGCAGCAUAGUGUACCUUGUAUUAUUCUCUGCUGGGCGUCUAAACCAUCUCAGCAAAUGAUCUUUAUUGUAUUUAAAUACAAAUGGAACAAGAGUGUUGCAAGCCCUAUCAGAGGGUUCUUUGAAUCCCUCAGUAUCUAGACGCAGUUACAUGUAGCCCUGCUCGAGGGAAAUCUAGAUGAGGGAGAUGAGACCAUCACUGCAGCUGUAGUUUGUAGUUUUACAAAGUUUUGAGAUAAGAGCUUGGCUGGAUUUUUUUUUUUAACUUAGUUUCCUUUUAAGUGAAAAUUAUUAACUGUAUUUUUGUUUUGUUUUGUUUUUCUGUUCAGGAUAUACCCGGGUAAGCCUUUAAAAUUUGCUAAUCCUUUUAGUUAAAAACAUAAAACUUGUAUAUUUAUACACCAAGAAUUGUCUUGUAUGUUUACUUGAUAUCUAUCUGCUGAAUAAAGAGUUGUAUUAGGGGCUGGAGAGAUAGCUCAGUGGUUAGGUGUGUGUGCUGUUCUUGCAGAAGACCAUAGAGAGGUUCCCAGCAUGUACAUCACCGUGUUUCCCAACCACUUGUAACUUCAGCUCCGUGUGGAUCUUUUGCUUCUGACCUCUGCACGCAUCUGUGCUUGUGCACAAACCCAUACACGUGCACCUACUUUUAAAAAAUCGAAGAAAGGUGGAGGUACACAUUGAAAUAGUUAAGGGAUGAAGAACCAGUAAAAAUUGUUCCUUAUUUCAAUUUAGCAAUGUAAGAGAUCUGUGGAGACUCGGUGUCCCACCUAAAAUGGCAAUGCACAAGCAGAAACAUGUAACUUAAAGCAUUAAAAAAAUGGAUGAACAAAAAGCAUCAGGAUUUUUUUUUCUUUCUAAAUACUUGUGCAUGUAGAAUCCUCAUGGUAAUUAAGCCUGCAUUUCUUGUCCCCUAAUGGAAAAGAGUAACAUGCAUGGGAGGGAACAUUGCUGGCCUGCUAUGACACAGAUCACUUCUCAUAGCUCCCUACCAAUGUACUGAGCGCUGCAGUUGAGAACGGCUGUAUGAAUGACCUCUGGUCAAGAUAAGAUUGCGCUUGAGUUUGACCAUUUACACUAAGGCAAUGGAUGGGAAAGUUCCAGAUCGGCAAGUGGGUAGUUCACAGAGCCCUAAACAAGGGAGUGUGGGGGACAGAGACAGAGACAGCCAGCUUGAAUAUCCGAGAGUUGGAACAUGGUUCCCUCGGCCACUAGAGGUGUGAACAUGGUUCUCUCAGCCAUGGUGUGUGAUCCCAGGGGAACCACUCAUUUCCAGAGACCUCUGUCCUUUACCUCGAUGCUGCCCCUCUCUGUCUUGAUUGGGAUAAAGGUAAAAAGGUAGCCAUGGAUGUUCCUUUUGCAGACUGUAAAUUUUAGCCCAGAUCCAAUGCACUAUAAGUCUUUGCUGCAAAAGUCCGGGGGGGGGCAGAGAACUUGAGGGUUAAUAAUCAACUUUAUGUAGUGUUUGUGGGGGGACGCUGUACUUUAGGCGGAGCCUAGCACCUGCGGUGUGGCAGCCAAUUUGUCACCGUUGUUUGAAUAUUCUAUUUUAGAUUGCUAGGUAGGCAACUCGAUGCAUACCUUAUUAUGCGAUGUGGGUGUUGCGUGGGCAACCUAACCUCGGGAUGACGAACUUACCGUUUAUCAAUUUUGACUAGCAAGUGCUUAAGUGAUGAAGUUUCAGGUUUCAUGGUAUAUGCUUUAAAUGAUUUUAAAGCAUUGCGUUUGUUUGUAUAACAUUAGCACUGGUAGACUAUAAAGAUGAAGUGUUCACUCAAAAGACCAGUGCAGGGAAGAUGUUCUGAGCACGGGAUGAGCCACUUGCUUCUCUCCCCUCAGAGCUUAGCACAACGGCAAGGGCUGGUUAGAAAAUGCAGUUACUUUUGUGCCUGUUCUACUUCUCUCUCUCCUUCCUUCUUCAUCUUGAAAAGGAAUUUAGCUCUUAUUUGCAUUCAGAUUGGAUUCGCCACUGUACUUGGUGUAGUCAGCUAUAAAGUAAAAGAGGAGAGUCACUUCUGAGAAGAAAGAGUUAAAACACUUUCUGAGUGGGCUGGGGAGUUGGCUCAGAGGUUAGAAACACACGUGUUGCUCUUCCUGAGGACCUGGGUUCAAUUCCCAGUACCUACAGUCAGGUGACCCACAGCCAUCUGUAACUCCAAUUCCUGAGGAUACACCCUCUCUGGCAGGCAUUCAUGGGCACUGUAAGUGGUGUGCAAACACAUACACAGGCAAAAAACACCCAUCUACAUAAAAUAAAAUAAAGCUAAAAAACAUCAAAAACCAACCAACCAAAAUAAAAACCACUUUCUGAGUAGUGGGCUGAGAUCCUUUGAAAAAGGCAUAGCCUUAGACUCUGGUUAGAUACCGCUUUAGGUUGGCCCCUCUCACCAGCAUUGGAUAUUCUGAUCUAUUCCUCGCAGAGACUUCAUUGACAGAGGAGGUGGUGUGUGAGGGAACAGAAUCUAAUCCCCACGGAUAUAAGGUUGUGGAGAGUACUUGCUGAAAUCGUGUUUUCUUGUUUCAAGAGGUAGAGACAGGGUAUGCAUUUAGAAGCUGUUUGUUGGCUGUGGGAAAGUCGAGCCAGAUUUUGCCGUCUGCUCUGAUUUUGCCGUCUGCUCUGGCUAGGUGCUUACAUUGUAAAUACCAUGCACUGAGAAUCCCCGUGGCUGCCCUAUGAAGGCUCAGCACCCAUCUGGGAGGGUGCCUGGCCCCUCGGUAAGACUAGGGCAUGGGCUGAUGCCUCCAUCCCUCCCUGUCUGUCCUUCUUUGCUGCUACUUGGGUGAGGAGAGCUGUGUCACAGGGGCAUAGACUCUCAUAAGACUUUGUGUUCUAACCCUGUAAUGCUGGCUAGCACCUGAUGUUCCAUACACCAUCCACCUAGUGCUAGCUCAGCACGGGCUUCCUCUUUAUGUGUUGUACAUAAGGUAGGUCAUUUUCAAAGUCUGGUGUGUUUCAGGCACCUCCAUCAGAGGUUUGUCGCUGGGCUUCUGGUCAUGAUGCUGCUCACACUACAGGGCCCUGAGAACACUUUAGAAAUACAGGCAAGGGUUAGGGUGUGUGGUCACAUCCAGGAUCCAGGGAGCAUUGGAAUGAGAAGAGCCCCUCUGAGCUGCAGCUGGUACAGUAGAGGCAGUGGGAUGUUGUUUGACUGACCUUGAUGGGUGUUCCUGGCCAUCAAGGAGAGCAGGCCAGUGGGAUGUGACAUCCUGGGUCACCAGCAGCUAGCUUCGAGCCUAGAGCUGUCCUCAUGCCUGUGAGGAAUGUGCAUAGUUCUUUGUGCCUCAGUUGGGUCAUCCACAAAGUGGGCUGAAUAUGACAGACUGAUAAACCUAUGGUAGGACUAACUUAGUGACAAUGACCAUAGCUAGGAUGGGUUCAUUAACAUCUCAGACAGACAACAGCCUCUAGAGUGGGCUCCAUCUACAUCCAUUAGGAUCCUUCCGCUGUGCCCCGGUCGUGUGAGUGGUCUGUGAGAAGCUGCCCAGAUGACAAAGUCCUCAUUCAGUCUGUACUGCAUCUAUAGCAGGUAACAGCUGCUGUUCCAGAGAUUCCCAGGGCUUUGGCAGACUCCUGCAAUACAGGGCUUCCUGUCAGUCUGUGAAAACUUUCUGAAACGCUGUCAGUCACGAUAUUGGUGGGCUCCUUUGCAGCAAUAUGGAACUUAAUUCAAAAAAUUCUCUACCACUUGAAAGUUGAGAUAAUUUUAGUUUUGCAUUUGUCUUUUCUCCUCAGAAUAGUUAGACCUUUGUGGAGAAUGUUCAUGCAUGCCCCCCCCCCAAUCUGUGUAUGUGCACACACGUGACUGCAUGUAUGUGCCUGUGCAUGUGUGUGUAUAUGCAUGUGUGUGCAUGUGUGUGUCUGCACAUGUAAACUUUUCCAUUUGACAAGGUCAGUGAAUGACAGACAAGCAUCUGGGGUCCACUACCUCAGCAUCACCUUCACUCAUGAGGUAGUAAUAUGUGUAUCCUAUGCGCUAGGAGAUGGCUAUUUACCAUACCAAAACAAACAUCUCUUUCUCUACCUGCACAUGUAAUUAUGAAUUUGAAUCUUGUAAAGAAAAAUAGAGCAGGGUGCAGGAGUGUACAGAAGGUCAUGGGAACAGUUUCCACUGUGUGUAGAAGGUGAUCAUGGGAACAGUUCCCACUGUGUGCAGAAGGUGAUCAUGGGAACAGUUCCCACUGUGUGCAGAAGGUGAUCAUGGGAACAGUUCCCACUGUGUGCAGAAGGUGAUCAUGGGAACAGUUCCCACUGUGUGCAGAAGGUGAUCAUGGGAACAGUUCCCACUGUGUGCAGAAGGUGAUCAUGGGAACAGUUCCCACUGUGUGCAGAAGGUGAUCAUGGGAACAGUUCCCGCUGUGUGCAGAAGGUGAUCAUGGGAACAGUUCCCACUGUGUGCAGAUGCAUGAUAGAACAGCAGCCUUUGACAGUUUGCAACACCUUUUCUUCAGAUAUGGGACGAUAUGGCUCAUCAUCAGCACACUAGCUCAGCACAGACAAGGCUCUGGGUCUAAUUUCUAAUGCCUCAGAUGCUAAAAAGAGUUCUCUUUCAUCAAGUUAAACAAUGACAUUCCUGACUCUUCUCUUUUCAUAAUUUCCUUAAGUGGAUCUCUACAGCAUCUACCACAUUUUUUUUUAAAAACAGUCAAACUUUAUUGACUGACAUGGCUUACAGAGACAAAACUAGCCUACCACUCUGCAAAGUUCGGAUUCAGUGACUCACCCUGUCUGGACCCUCUUCCUUCCUUACUGACUGACAGUUGGCAGGGGCAGGACCCUCAUGCCUGCAGGAGGAAUGGUGCUGACCUUGUCUGAGGGCAGCGUUUAGGAAACUUCUGGAACCAGUGUGUUCAUGUUGGUACUAGGAGGUGAGCUGUCUAUGAAAAAAAAAA
Mus musculus (house mouse) is the source of this 22877-nucleotide long non-coding RNA. RefSeq annotates it as predicted gene, 34321. The record is from RefSeq and is a predicted model, not a curated record. NCBI's taxonomy places the organism in Eukaryota, Metazoa, Chordata, Mammalia, Rodentia, Muridae. The transcript has 2 exons.